Molecule: ribosomal RNA, 496 nt
Filed under: uncultured bacterium
Lineage: Bacteria
Description: partial 16S ribosomal RNA
Rfam family: Bacterial small subunit ribosomal RNA
Source: RNAcentral
GAUGAACGCUGGCGGCGUGCCUAAUACAUGCAAGUCGAGCGAACGGACGAGAAACUUGCUUCUCUGAUGUUAGCGGCUGAUGGGUGAGUAACACGUGGUUCACCUACCUAUAACACUGAGAAUUUUUCGUUAAACGGGUGCCUAUAGCAGUUUAUCUUUUUCAUCGUAUUGUUUAAGUGAUAGAGACUGUCUUUCUCACUUUUAUAGAUGUCUGCUCGCUGUAUUAGCUAUUUGGUAAGGUAACGUCUUACCAAGGAAAUGAUGCAUAGCCGACCUGAGAGGGUGAUCGGCCACACUGGAACUGAGACACGGUCCAGACUCCUACGGGAGGCAGCAGUAGGGAAUCUUCCGCAAUGGGCGAAAGCCUGACGGAGCAACGCCGCGUGAGUGAUGAAGGUCUUCGGAUCGUAAAACUCUGUUAUUAGGGAAGAACAUAUGUGUAAGUAACUGUGCACAUCUUGACGGUACCUAAUCAGAAAGCCACGGCUAACUACGU